GAACCAGUUCAAUGUGUCUGCUCAACCUGAAAAUGUUUUGCAGAGCAUAUUUUUAAAUUAGACUGGUAAAGUACAGCCACAGUACGAGCCUUGAAGACUUUGUAGUCUUUGAGGUCCCAAGAGUUGGCUACAUCU
Small nucleolar RNA from Athene cunicularia (burrowing owl), 135 nucleotides. Ensembl annotates it as small nucleolar RNA SNORA33. The record is from Ensembl. Lineage: Eukaryota; Metazoa; Chordata; Aves; Strigiformes; Strigidae.